This 509-nucleotide ribosomal RNA is filed under the name Chrysolina herbacea. RNAcentral's name for it is "16S ribosomal RNA". Lineage: Eukaryota; Metazoa; Arthropoda; Insecta; Coleoptera; Chrysomelidae. The record is from RNAcentral.
UGUAAAAUUUUAAAGGUCGAACAGACCUAAUAUUUUAGCUCCUACACCAAAAAUUUAUUUUAAUCCAACAUCGAGGUCGCAAUCUUUUCUUUUAAUAUGAACUCUUUAAAAAAAUUACGCUGUUAUCCCUAAGGUAAUUUUAUCUUAUAAUCAAAAAUAUUGGAUCAUUAAUUCAUAAAUUAAUGAAUUUAAAUAAAAAAAGUUAGCUUAAUUUUUCAAUCACCCCAAUUAAAUUGUUAAAUAAAAUAAAUAUAUAAAUACUAAAAAGUAACUUUUAUUAAACAAUCAAACUCUAUAGGGUCUUCUCGUCUUUUAAAUAUAUUUAAGCUUUUUAACUUAAAAAUAAAAUUCUAAUAAAAUUUAAUAGAGACAGCUAUUUUCUUAUCCAACCUUUCAUUCCAGUUCUUAAUUAAAAAACUAAUGAUUAUGCUACCUUAGCACGGUCAAAAUACCACGGCCAUUUAAAAAUUCAGUGGGCAGGUUAGACCUUAAAUUAUUUACAAAAGGAC